AACGAACGCUGGCGGCAGGCCUAACACAUGCAAGUCGAGCGAGAUCUUCGAGUCUAGCGGCGGACGGGUGAGUAACGCGUGGGAAUAUGCCUCUUGGUACGGAAUAGCCUCGGGAAACUGGGAGUAAUACCGUAUGUGCCCUUUGGGGGAAAGAUUUAUCGCCAAGAGAUUAGCCCGCGUUGGAUUAGGUAGUUGGUGGGGUAAUGGCCUACCAAGCCGACGAUCCAUAGCUGGUUUGAGAGGAUGAUCAGCCACACUGGGACUGAGACACGGCCCAGACUCCUACGGGAGGCAGCAGUGGGGAAUCUUAGACAAUGGGGGCAACCCUGAUCUAGCCAUGCCGCGUGAGUGAUGAAGGCCUUAGGGUUGUAAAGCUCUUUCAGCUGGGAAGAUAAUGACGGUACCAGCAGAAGAAGCCCCGGCUAACUCCGUG
RNAcentral lists this ribosomal RNA (433 nucleotides) under uncultured bacterium. RNAcentral describes it as "partial 16S ribosomal RNA". It matches the Rfam family "Bacterial small subunit ribosomal RNA", at positions 29 to 507 of the family's 1533-position model. The record is from RNAcentral.